AAUAAAAAUGUUUAUAGUUUGAUUAAUUUAUUUAAAGUUUAUUUUACAUAUAAAUUUUAGUGUUAAUUUUAAAUUUAUUUUAAUAAUAAAUUAAUUAAUUUAUAGUAAUUAAUAUUAAAUAUUUAAGAAAUUAAGAUUUAGUAAUAUUUAAAUUAAUAACAAAUUUUGUGCCAGCAGUUGCGGUUAAACAAAAAUUAAAUUAAAUUUUAUUAGUAAUUAAUAAAUAAAUUUAUUAAUAAUUUAAAAUUUAAAUUAUUAGGUGAAAUUUUAAUUUAAUAUAAUAUUAAUUGAAUUUUAUGAUUUAAUAAAUUUUAUUAAAAACUAGGAUUAGAUACCCUAUUAUGAAAAUUUUAAAUUUAAAUACUAAAAUAGUAAGUGAUUAUUCAUUGAAACUUAAAUAAUUUGGCGGUAUUUUAGUUCAUUUAGAGGAAUCUGUUUAAUAAUUGAUAAUCCACGAAUAAAUUUACUUAAUUUUUAAUUUUGUAUAUCGUUGUUAAAAAAAUAUUUUUUAAUAAAAAUAAUAUUUAAAAAUUUAUAUUUAUAAAUUAAAUCAGAUCAAGAUGCAGAUUAUAAUUAAGAAUAUAAUGGAUUACAAUAAAUUUAUUUAUAUGGACAUUAAUUUGAAAAAUUUAAUUAAAAGUGGAUUUAAAUGUAAUUUUAUUUAAUUUAAUAAAAUGAUUAUAAAUUGGAAUAUGUACAUAUUGCCCGUCGCUUUCAUAUGUUCAUAUUUAUAUUAUUUAAAUAUAAAUAAUAAAUUGAAAUAAGUCGUAACAAAGUAGAGAUACUGGAAAGUGUUUCUAGAAAGA
RNAcentral lists this non-coding RNA (806 nucleotides) under Spilosoma lubricipeda. Lineage: Eukaryota; Metazoa; Arthropoda; Insecta; Lepidoptera; Erebidae. The record is from RNAcentral.